RNAcentral lists this ribosomal RNA (253 nucleotides) under uncultured bacterium. RNAcentral describes it as "partial 16S ribosomal RNA". It matches the Rfam family "Bacterial small subunit ribosomal RNA", at positions 524 to 776 of the family's 1533-position model. The record is from RNAcentral.
GACGUAGGGCGCGAGCGUUGUCCGGAUUUAUUGGGCGUAAAGAGCUCGUAGGCGGCUUGUUGCGUCGGCUGUGAAAACCCGCAGCUCAACUGUGGGCUUGCAGCUGAUACGGGCAGGCUAGAAUUCGGUAGGGGAGACUGGAAUUCCUGGUGUAGCGGUGAAAUGCGCAGAUAUCAGGAGGAACACCGGUGGCGAAGGCGGAUCUCUGGGCCUUACCUGACGCUGAGGCGCGAAAGCUAGGGGAGCGAACAGG